UUGUAUUAUCAUAUCUUAUGAAAAUUUUAUUUUAUUCAAUACUAUAAUCUUUGAAUUGUUGUUUAAUUUAAAGAAUUUGAGUACAGUAACUUUUUGCUGCAAUAUACUUGGUCUCGAUCAUGGACAAUGCUAUUAAAUUUUACUUUUUACUAAACUAAGAGAUUAAGUUUAAUUCUAGAAAUUGGCAUGUUUCACUUAUGCUUUUUUUUAUCAAUUUUACAUCCACCAUA
Molecule: long non-coding RNA, 230 nt
Filed under: Elaeis guineensis (African oil palm)
Lineage: Eukaryota; Viridiplantae; Streptophyta; Magnoliopsida; Arecales; Arecaceae
Description: long non-coding RNA (EGUI_LNC054122)
Source: RNAcentral